UUAAUUGAAGCCAAAAUAGAGGCAUAUUACUGUUAAUAAUAUUAUUGAACAAUUAUAUGUUCCAAUUAAG
RNAcentral lists this transfer RNA (70 nucleotides) under Gesonula punctifrons. RNAcentral describes it as "tRNA-Asn". Lineage: Eukaryota; Metazoa; Arthropoda; Insecta; Orthoptera; Acrididae. The record is from RNAcentral.